This 739-nucleotide long non-coding RNA is filed under the name Medicago truncatula (barrel medic). RNAcentral's name for it is "long non-coding RNA (MTRU_LNC001427)". The record is from RNAcentral. Lineage: Eukaryota; Viridiplantae; Streptophyta; Magnoliopsida; Fabales; Fabaceae.
AUUGUGUAACUUCAGAUUUAAGUUAGGGCUGAUAAUUUGUAUCCUGAUAUGAUGGCUGAUAGAGCUAGAAAUGUGAAGGCAAAAAAGGACAUAGUAAUGGUUGCAGCUGAAGCGUCUGUAAAUGCAUCAUCGUCAUUCUCCCUCAUUCUAUCUGUUAGUGGAACUGCUGUGGAUGCUGAUGAUAUUAAGAGAUAUGCUAUUACCUGAAAAUAAAAAAGAAAACUACUGACUAUAUACUUUGAUGUCCGAGGGUUUUCUUAGUAUUACGGUCCAUUAGGGUUUCAUUGGUAUCUAAACACUUUAGUGGUAGCUAGAGAUGCGGUUUUUAUUCGUUCAAUAAAAUUUAAGAGAGUUUUCUUAAUUUCUGGUGGAUUCCGAAACUUUAAUUUCAUGGAUUUAUCGUUUGCAAACUUGUUUCUUUUCAAUCUAUAUUUAGCACUUGUUAACGUAUGUUUCCGAUUACGUCAACUUCUCUAUAUUAAAAUAAUCGCUAAAGAAAAUAUCCUUACGUACAAUUUCAAUACUAGUUAAAUUCCUUAAUUGGGUUAAAAAAAUAUUAUGCUAAACUACUAAUGUGCUAUGAAAGUAAGAAAUGCCAAACCUGAUCCCCAACAAAAUCAAUCACAGCUGCAGUUGUAGGUCGAAAUAUAUUAUUCCCAGUGAUAAGUUCAUGAAUUUGACGAUACACUUGGCUUCCUGUGUAUAUACUUGUAAAAAAUGCUACCACAAGCAAAUACCU